Molecule: small RNA, 109 nt
Filed under: Caenorhabditis elegans
Lineage: Eukaryota; Metazoa; Nematoda; Chromadorea; Rhabditida; Rhabditidae
Description: Unclassified non-coding RNA Y73B6BL.292
Source: RNAcentral
UCUGGGCGUGAGGACAAAACAAUUUGGACAUUUUUUGAAAGAUUAGGUAGGAAGGAAACAGGAAUUCUGAAGAGGACUGUGAUGGAGGCAUUUCAGAUGGUGAUUGAGG